AAUGUUGCGUCAUGUAUGACCUCACCGCACCGCCUCCAUUGUGCCCGCCCGGCUGCGGCCACCCGAGCCACGCCCCUUGGAGCCACGCCCCCGAUCCCCUCGGCCCCCCUCCCCCCGACCGUCUCGCGGCUGGGGAGGCGGUUAUAUGCGGGGGGGAGCGGGGGGCGAACUCUGCCUGGUCUGCGGGGCCGCCGCACCCGCCUGGCGCCUGGCCUCGUUGUUACCUGCCGCUGCCUCCCGGCCCCCGCUCCCGGGCAAUACCCUCACGGGCCUGGGGGGACGAUCCACGUCAGGGGAGAAGCAUUACCAAUGGUGAAAUACUAGUUUACCACAAAAGCUGUUACCACCUCCCCACCUCUAUGGACAUCAGACAAGCCGUUGUGGACAAAAGACUUUGGUCACUUUGCCUGCACCCCUGAAGAGGGUCGGUGCCCAAUCCCUCAUCCCAUCACAGUUGGAAUGCUGGGGGAAAGGAAUAAAAAUGCCUGUUAAGGAGAAAUUGGUAUCUUUAUGCUGCCUGGACUCUGAGAGGCAAAGAUUUUUAAACAAAAAAGAAGGAUAUCCCCCAGCUGCUUGGCUUGGGUUAGCCCUAAAGAAUAUAAAAGCUUGUUUCUUAUAUGAGCUUCUGUUACCUUUUCAACUGAAGACUGUACCUCAUUUGUGUGUGUUUAUUUAUUGGCUUUAACUUUGUAAAUAUCUCUUUUUCCUUGUUAAUAAACUUUGUUAGUGUGUUA
Mauremys reevesii (Reeves's turtle) is the source of this 734-nucleotide long non-coding RNA. RefSeq lists it as uncharacterized. NCBI's taxonomy places the organism in Eukaryota, Metazoa, Chordata, Testudines, Geoemydidae. The record is from RefSeq and is a predicted model, not a curated record. The transcript is spliced from 2 exons.